GCUGGUGCUCGCUGAGCUGGGCCGUCUCAGCUGCAGAGCGUGCGGCACGUCGGGACGGGCGUGGGGUGUGCGGAUCGAGAGCUCGGUUCUGGAGCCACGCUUGCCUGCUUUCGGACGGCUGGGGAGGAGAAAGCGAACGGUUAUGCAAAGCUCCAUGCACCGCACGCCUUUCCCUCUCCUCUCCUUUGGAGGAAAGUUGGCGUCUGGGACUGGUGAGAGAGGUGGAGGUGACCUCAGGCUUUACUAAGGUGCGAGAAGCCGGUUGAGGGGCGAUUUCGGAAGUAGGCUGGUGAGGGGCGAGGAGGCCAGUUUGCCGAGUCAAAGUCUGACCCCCUGGGCCUGACGCGCCAAACUCGGGGGCUCCGGAGAAGCCGCGGACGCCGCUCUGCACCUGUUGUCGCCGUCACUCAUCCUCGCUGAGCGGGCGGGGCUGCGCGGGCGGCUUGGCCGAGACUCGCCGCCGCAGCCGUGUCCAGGCUCCGGCGCCCGCCCCAGGCCCGCGCCGGCUGAGCACCGCGGGACCUCCGCUCAGCCUCUGGAGCCGGCCGGUGAGGGAGCCACCCGCGCGCCCGAGGGAAACCCUUGCAAUGGAUACUGCUGUGUUCAUCAUGUUACAGAUUGACUUCAGCUCUACUCCAUGUCAUUUUCAAGAUCCACCCUCUAUCUGAUGAACAAUUAACCUUGUGGCAAAGGAAAAAAGA
Long non-coding RNA from Phacochoerus africanus (Common warthog), 701 nucleotides. RefSeq lists it as uncharacterized. The transcript has 3 exons. The record is from RefSeq and is a predicted model, not a curated record. NCBI's taxonomy places the organism in Eukaryota, Metazoa, Chordata, Mammalia, Artiodactyla, Suidae.